AACUCUUAACAACAAAUCAUGCCCUUAAAAUUAUUUUGAUUCAAAUAAAGAAGAUUCCUUUGUGAAUUAUCUAACUUUCUAUUUAUUAGAAAAUUAGAAUAAAAAAUGAGAAAAAAGAAAAAAAAUAGAAAAAAGAAAAAAAAAAGAUAAGAACAAGAUAAAGGUUAAGAAAAAAAGAAGAAUAAAAAAUAAAAGAAAAAUAAAAAAAAACAAAGAUUAAGAAAAACAACAAUGGAAGGAAAAAAAAUAAAA
RNAcentral lists this long non-coding RNA (252 nucleotides) under Capsicum annuum. RNAcentral describes it as "long non-coding RNA (CANN_LNC017478)". Lineage: Eukaryota; Viridiplantae; Streptophyta; Magnoliopsida; Solanales; Solanaceae. The record is from RNAcentral.